This 253-nucleotide ribosomal RNA is filed under the name uncultured Oscillospiraceae bacterium. Its description in RNAcentral is "partial 16S ribosomal RNA". It matches the Rfam family "Bacterial small subunit ribosomal RNA", at positions 524 to 776 of the family's 1533-position model. The record is from RNAcentral. Lineage: Bacteria; Bacillati; Bacillota; Clostridia; Eubacteriales; Oscillospiraceae.
UACGUAGGUGGCAAGCGUUGUCCGGAUUUACUGGGUGUAAAGGGCGUGCAGCCGGGAGUGCAAGUCAGAUGUGAAAUCCCGCGGCUCAACCGCGGAACUGCAUUUGAAACUGUGCUUCUUGAGUGCAGGAGAGGUAAGCGGAAUUCCUAGUGUAGCGGUGAAAUGCGUAGAUAUUAGGAGGAACACCAGUGGCGAAGGCGGCUUACUGGACUGUAACUGACGUUGAGGCUCGAAAGCGUAGGGAGCAAACAGG